Carassius gibelio (silver crucian carp) is the source of this 223-nucleotide long non-coding RNA. RefSeq lists it as uncharacterized. The record is from RefSeq and is a predicted model, not a curated record. NCBI's taxonomy places the organism in Eukaryota, Metazoa, Chordata, Actinopteri, Cypriniformes, Cyprinidae. The transcript has 2 exons.
UGAUGAUGAUCUGGAGAACAGCAAUGAAGAUGUGAGAAACCUGUCAGACUAUGAUGAUGUAGGGGAGUUGAAUGAUGAGGCAGGGGCUACUGUAUAUGACUCAGUGGCCCCACUCAAUGUCACUGCUCAUUAAAAGCUCUGUUGUUUGUUUUGUUUUUUGUUUUGUUUGCUUGUUUGUUAUUUGCUUGACAAUUUUUUUAAAUACAUUUAGAGUUCUCUUUGA